AUGGAGAUGCUGCGGCGGAACCUCAAGCGCCAGACCUCGCGCGCGCGGUCCCUCUCCCCGCUCUCCGUCGCCUCCCCCGCCGACGACCAGGAGAACCUCCACCCCAACCUCGCCGCCGCCCCGCCCUCCCCGCCGCCGCCGGGCCUGUCCAAGCCCGUCCCCGUUCCCCAGCCGGCGGCCGCGCCCGCCCAGCAGCGGCCGGUCAACGACGAGCCCGCCGUCAAGGUCGUGGUGCGGGUGCGGCCGGCGGUCAGCCUGCCGGUGGACGGCAAGGACCUCUUCUUCGUGCGCAAGACCUCCCCAGACUCCAUCGCCGUCGGCGACCGCGCCUUCGCCGUCGACGGGUUCCUCGACGACAGGGCUUCCCAGGAGGAUGCGUUCCAUCUGGUGGGUGUGCCCAUGAUCCACAGCGCCCUCGCCGGAUUCAACACCUCCCUCGUCUGCUAUGGCCAGAGUGGCACAGGGAAGACAUACACCAUGUGGGGGCCCCUCGCCGCCAUGUUCGACAACCGCUCCGACCGGGCCGACCGGGGGAUCGUGCCUCGCUUCUUCCAGAACCUCUUCUCCCAAAUCCAAGGCAACGAAGAGAGCUCCCCUGAGAAGCACACAAGUUACCAGUGCCGCUGCACCUUUCUGGAGGUAUUUAAUGAGCAGAUCAAUGACCUGCUUGAUCCAUCUCAACGUAAUCUUCAGAUAAGAGAGACCACUGGCAAUGGUGUCCAUGUCGAAAACUUGACCGAGGAGUAUGUAUCGACAGUCGAGGAUGUAAAUCAGAUCUUGAUGAAGGGCCUGACAAAAAGAAAAAUUGGCGUUGAUAGUAUGAACUUGAAAAAUUCACGUUCUCACGUGAUAUUCACUUGUGUCAUUGAAGCUUGGAGCAAGGAUUUGUCAUCAAAUGGCUUUAGUAGUUCAAAAACUAGCAAAAUUACCUUUGUUGAUCUAGCUGGUGUUGAUAUUGAUGAAAGUGAUGGCGCUGGCAAGAACAUUACACGAGAGGAAAGAUACGUUAAGAAGUCUCUCUCAAGCCUCGGGAAACUAGUCAAUAUUCUUUCAGAAGAACCAAAGCCCCAGGAAGAUGAAUUGCCAUACAGCCAGUCCCGUUUGACACAUGUGCUGAAGGAUACGCUAGGCGGCAAUUCAAGGGCUACAUUUUUGUGUUCCAUUUCUUCAGAGCACAGAUGCAGGUCUGAGACUUUAAGCACGCUAAGGUUUGGUGAGCGAACAAAGCUCAUGCCGAACAAAGCUGUGGUAAAUGAGAUAUCAGAAGAUGAUGUUAAUGGUCUGAGUGAUCAGAUCCGUCAGCUGAAGGAUGAACUUGUAAGAACCAAGUCUGGAGAGCACGCAACAUCUGAGACUGGAUACUUCAAUGCACAAAUUGCUCGAGCGAGCUUGCACAGUUUGCGUGUGAGCCUCAAUCGCUCUAUAAUUUUGCCCCAUAUUGAAGUUGAGACAGAUGAUGAAAUGGAUGUGGAUGAAGAUGAUGUGCAUGAACUGCGUGAUCAGAUUAGCAAGAUUCAUUCUUCAUCUGAAGACACUCUUGAUGACUUCAUGGAUGCAGAGAGUGGAGAGGACAGUCCAAUACCAUGGGAACAUGAUGAUCAGGUUGUCAUAGAUGACAGUGAAGGCCCACUUCAGGAAGAGCCCCAGAAAAUGCACAGCAAUACAAAUGCUGAUCAUGACCAGGUUUCUGACAGGAAAUCUGUUCUAUCAAUUAGUGCUUCCGAACAGCUGAGCCCAAUCCAAGACGCGACGUUCUGCUCUUCUCCAAAGAUCCACAAGGCAAGAAGGAGCAUUGCGUCGCCAGGGUUCUCUCCGAGCAAGCUUGGUGAAUCCAGCCCAGGAGAAGCCGAUUUGGAAACGUAUAGGAAGAGUGCAGUGCGUUCCUCCUUACAAUCGAGCAAGCUUAGUCCCACUGACUCGCUGGCCGCAAGUCUCCAACGGGGCCUGCACAUUAUAGAGUAUCAUCAGCAGAAUCCUCCAGCACCACGAAAAUCGUUUGUUGGCCUUUCAUUUGACCAUUUUGCACUGAACCCCCGCCAGUCAGCAAAAGCAAGUUCAGCCCUUGAGGCUUUACCGGAGGGGGACGCCAGUUCGGCUUCUACCAUUUGCUCAUCCUGCAAGAAAGCAAUGGAUACAAAUGAGGACCAUUCAGAGGACAUCAACUCAGAGAAGCAGAUUGUAACGGCGACUGCUGUCACAUCCAAUGACUUGGCUAAUGCUUCCCUCCAGGACGGUGAUAUCUCUUCGACUACUGGCUCUAAGAGAGUGGCUGAGCUUGAAGCUUUAUGUGAAGAACAGGGAGCUAAGAUCAAGGAGUUGAGCAACUUGAUUGGGCAACAAAAGAAGGGACCAGAAGAUGUUAUGCCUAUGAGGGAACUAACUGCUGAACAAUGUGAGGAUAGCAAAAUGCCACUCGAUGUGAAUGAGAGGGAAGCACUUGAAGGCGAGAUCCAGAGGCUGAAGGACCAAGUAAAGCUUCUCACGGACGGAUCAACAGCAAACGACAGCCUUCUGGAUCAGAUAAGGAACGGCAGCACGGACCAGGAGUACGGGCUGGAGAAAGAGCGGCAGAAAUGGACGGAGUCCGAGAGCAAAUGGAUAUCUCUCACCGAGGAGCUGAGGGUGGACCUGGAGUCGAGCCGGAGGCACGCGGAGAAGACGGAGGCGGAGCUCCGGGACGAGAAGAAGUGCACGGAGGAGCUGGACGACGCCCUCCAGCGGGCCAUCUACGGCCACGCCAGGAUCAUCGAGCACUACGUGGAGCUCCAGGAGCUGUACAACGACCUCCUCGAGCGGCACCGCGGCGUCAUGGGGGGCAUCGCGGAGGUGAAGAGGGCGGCCGCCAGGGCCGGCAAGAAGGGCUGCGGCACGGCCUUCGCCGCCGCCCUCGCCGCGGAGCUGUCGACGGUGAGGAUCGACCGGGAGAAGGAGCGGGCGCAGCUCAGGGAGCAGAACAGGAGGCUCCGCGUCCAGCUCCGGGACACCGCGGAGGCGGUGCAUGCCGCCGGCGAGCUGCUCGUGAGGCUCAGGGAAGCCGAGGAGGCAUCCACGCAAGAGAAGGAGAGGAGUUCCGCCAUGCUGCAGGAGAACCAGAAGCUGAAGAAGCAGGUGGAGAAGAUGAGGAAGAAGCACGAGGUGGAGAUCGAGACGAUGAAGCACUACCUGGCGGAGAGCCGGCUGCCGGAGUCGGCCCUGGAGGGGUUCUACCGCAGCGAGGAUGCGCCCAGGGAGUCGUCCACUGUCCAAGACGACGAUCAGUCCUGGCGUUCUGCGUUUAAGUCUGAAUUCGAAUGA
Molecule: ribosomal RNA, 3294 nt
Filed under: Triticum aestivum (bread wheat)
Lineage: Eukaryota; Viridiplantae; Streptophyta; Magnoliopsida; Poales; Poaceae
Description: partial small subunit ribosomal RNA
Source: RNAcentral